UACGUAGGUGGCAAGCGUUAUCCGGAAUUAUUGGGAGUAAAGCGCGCGCAGGCGGUCUUUUAAGUCUGAUGUUAAAGCCCACGGCUCAACCGUGGUUCGCACUCAGAAACUGGGAGACUUGAGUAUUGAAGAGGAAAGUGGAAUACCACGUGUAGCGGUGAAAUGCGUAGAGAUGUGGUGGAACACCAGUGGCGAAGGCGACUUUCUGGUCAAAUACUGACGCUGAGGCGCGAAAGCGUGGGGAGAAAACAGG
RNAcentral lists this ribosomal RNA (253 nucleotides) under uncultured bacterium. RNAcentral describes it as "partial 16S ribosomal RNA". It matches the Rfam family "Bacterial small subunit ribosomal RNA", at positions 524 to 776 of the family's 1533-position model. The record is from RNAcentral.